This 86-nucleotide non-coding RNA is filed under the name human gut metagenome. The record is from RNAcentral.
GUUCAGGGGAGCUGAAUGGCUGAGAGGAGACAAAUGAGUCUCGACCCUUUAACCUGAUCCGGGUAAUGCCGGCGGAGGUAGAUUGC